AACGCGAAGAACCUUACCCAGGCUUGAACAGCGAGUGACCACUCAUGAAAGUGAGCUUCCGCAAGGACACUCGUAGAGGUGCUGCAUGGCUGUCGUCAGCUCGUGUCGUGAGAUGUUGGGUUAAGUCCCGCAACGAGCGCAACCCUUGUUUGCUGUUGCCAUCAGGUUAUGCUGGGCACUCUGCAAAGACCGCCGGUGAUAAACCGGAGGAAGGUGGGGAUGACGUCAAGUCAGCAUGGCCUUUAUGUCUGGGGCUACACACGUGCUACAAUGGCCGGUACAAACCGUCGCGAGCCCGCGAGGGGGAGCUAAUCGGAGAAAGCCGGUCUCAGUUCGGAUAGACAAGGCUGCAACUCGCCUGCAAUGAAGUUGGAAUCGCUAGUAAUCGCGGAUCAGCACGCCUGCGGUGAAUACGUUCCGGCGGGUCUGUACACACCG
Molecule: ribosomal RNA, 438 nt
Filed under: uncultured bacterium
Lineage: Bacteria
Description: bacterial SSU rRNA
Rfam family: Bacterial small subunit ribosomal RNA
Source: RNAcentral